UGGAAACGUUCAAAUUUGGUUAAAUGAAUUUGAAAUCUAGGUUAAUGAAUUAAAUCAAAACAGAAAAAAAUAUGAAAUUAAUGAAAAAUUGUGGAACUAACUAUAAGUUUUAUUAUCUCAAAUAAUCAAUUAUUGUGUGAUAUUAAAUUCAAAUUCAAUAUCACCUAUACCAAACGGUGCCUUUAUAGAUUGGAUAAAUUAACGUCUAUGAAAUAUGUGUGUUGCCUGUGCGGGUAGUGGCAGCCUAGUUUGCUCCUUGGUGCCAUGAAUUUGACUAUAAAUUCCCGUAACUAAAUGUCUUUAGUCACUCAAUCUCAGGAAAUUGGAAUUUUAUGUGACUAAAGGUCCUUUUUCUUGUGGUGAUUGGAAUGACAUGUAUGGGUUAAUAUGAAUAUGAAACACUGGUUGAAUUUGUAACGGUAUUAUUUACCUGAUCGGGCUGUAAACAGUAAUCCCGGCGCAUAGCAAAGGAGCGGCCGCGUCCAUAGGGAUGGUGUCCGGGAUUCGGACCACAAAGUGCUCGUCGCAGACCAUGGUGUCGGAGUAGCCUCCGUAGGUCGUCGUGGGGACGAGGUUAGCGGGCGCGGAGUAUGUUAGGACGAAAUCGGGGCAGUAGUUCUCGAGGUCGUUGGAGCAGUUGUAGCAGUUGCGGCAUGAUCCGACCAUGCAACCGACGCCCACCCGGUCCCCGACUUUGAAUUUCUCGACAUUGUUCCCGACUUG
This 723-nucleotide long non-coding RNA is filed under the name Linum usitatissimum (flax). RNAcentral's name for it is "long non-coding RNA (LUSI_LNC008297)". The record is from RNAcentral. Lineage: Eukaryota; Viridiplantae; Streptophyta; Magnoliopsida; Malpighiales; Linaceae.